UUUAGGGUGGUUAUAGCGGUGGGGCUCACCUGUUCCCAUUCCGAACACAGAAGUUAAGCCCACCAGCGCCGAUGGUACUGCUAACGCGGGAGAGUAGGUCGCCGCCAGUUU
RNAcentral lists this ribosomal RNA (111 nucleotides) under Elizabethkingia anophelis. Lineage: Bacteria; Pseudomonadati; Bacteroidota; Flavobacteriia; Flavobacteriales; Weeksellaceae. The record is from RNAcentral.